RNAcentral lists this ribosomal RNA (234 nucleotides) under Clostridioides difficile. Its description in RNAcentral is "partial 23S ribosomal RNA". It matches the Rfam family "Bacterial large subunit ribosomal RNA", at positions 555 to 788 of the family's 2925-position model. Lineage: Bacteria; Bacillati; Bacillota; Clostridia; Peptostreptococcales; Peptostreptococcaceae. The record is from RNAcentral.
ACCCUGCACUUACAAGCUGUGGAAGCACAUUUCUUGUGUGACCGCGUACUUUUUGUAGAACGGGCCAACGAGUUACGUUAAGUAGCAAGGUUAAGCACUUAAGGUGCGGAGCCGUAGCGAAAGCGAGGUUUAACUGAGCGUUCAGUUACUUGACGUAGACCCGAAACCGGGCGACCUACCCAUGAGCAGGAUGAAGCGAAAGUAAAAUUUCGUGGAGGUCCGAACCCACGAGCG